CAACAGGUUCCCGGUCCCUGCUCUGUGUCGGCGCCUGCUCUAGGGGCUCGGGCACAUCGGUGACACAAGGACACAGCUUCCCUGUCCUGAUGGGGCCAAGGGACUCCUUUGUCCCUGCCCUUUGUCCUCGAGGCUUCCAGGAAGGUGGGGUUGGCACCCAACCUGCUCUUAGGGACCGUGUCUGUAGGGGGCAAGGAAGGAGCUGUCCAGGCAGGAGGGCCUGGGGGUAGGAGAGGGACGUGGAGGAGGACACGGAAGUCUUUAGAUGACAGGUGAAGAGCAGCUCCCAUCUUACAACAAACCUCAUAUAAGAUUUGUAAAAAUUGAAGUCUUUUUUUUUUUCUCCCUAAAAACCAAAGUGCCUAUAACUGCGUGUGGCAUAAUUGGGAGGCCGAAGCAGGAGGCUCUCAAGUUCAAGGCCAGCCUGGGCAACGUAGGCCCUGUCUCAAAAUUAAAGAGCUUUUAAAAAAGGGCUGAGGGGUAGCUAGGGGGUGGAGCGCUUGAUGCGGGAGCCCGGGUUCCAUCCCCAGCACAAAAUAUGGAGAGCCGAGGGAGGGAGGGAGGGAGGGAAAGUCUGGACUCAGACAGACGCCUCUGCUGCCCCCAGGUGUGUGGCCCCACAGGAGACCCCCACGGCUCCAUCUCCCCCUGCCCCCUCCUGGGCUCUUGAGAGGACUCCUGCAGUGAAGACCAGGAAGGUCAGCUGUGGGGCAGUGACUCCCGGCCCCCGGAGCAGCUCCUACCAGGAGGGAGACUCUCACCGUGAGGCCCUAGUGGCCCCCACCCUCCAGACACCCACACCCUGAAGCUCUGACCCCGCAGUGCAGGAUUGUCCCCAGUGAGGUCCUCACACCCAGCCUCCCCCUGGCUCUGUAGGCCCUGGCCAGACGCCAACCAAUUCCCGCUGCCUCAGGACUCCUGGGCUGCCCACCCUCGGUCCUGGCCUCUGCAGCCCCUUGGCCGGUCCCUCUAGGUUGCAGGGACCUGGCACUGCCGAGUCUUGGGGACAUGGGGGGCUGCUGGACUGAAGCAGCUGGGACCUCGCAUCAGAAAUCUCAGCUGUGCUCCUGGAGCCCAGGGUAGGGGAGGGCCCUGGUUUUGCCAGUCCCACCUGCAAUCCCACCCUCUAGUCCAGAGGAAGAACUCUGCUCUCCUCACAGAGCUGUUCUUGGACCCCCUAAAUAAAAUAGCGCACCCCGUUCUCCCGCCUCCCGGCCCCCGCUG
This 1224-nucleotide long non-coding RNA is filed under the name Marmota monax (woodchuck). Lineage: Eukaryota; Metazoa; Chordata; Mammalia; Rodentia; Sciuridae. The record is from RNAcentral.